AGCAUGAAGCAAGAUAUUCAAGAAUUGAUCAAAACUCCAAAGUGUGAGGAAAACACCACUUUCUCUUUAGCAUCCUCACUCCUGACCACAAAAAGGGAUAUUUGUCCACAGUCUCCAUCCGUAGUGUCUCAGCACUGUACUUCAAGAACAACAGCAAGCACUCCAUUCCUCCACAGAUAAUAGCAAAUGGCGGCCCCUCCUGUCCUACUCGCAGAACAGCAAGCAUCAUCCCCUCCUGCCUUUCCCCUAUAUCCACAGACACUCAUAAUGUAAGUUGCCAGACAGUAGAGUCCUCCCUUGUCCCCUGUGAUGCCUGUGCUCAGGUCCAGUCCAGCCUGAGGGAGACUGGUGAUGCUCUUGUGGAGCUGUGUCGGAGCGAGGGCCUUCCCACCUCUGCAGCGCCUCCUGGUGGCUGCGGAUGACACUAUGUAGCAGGGCCGUCUGACUGUAGGAGAUGUGUCUCAGUGGUCCACAGAGCAGCACAGGGACAUGGGUCAGGUGGGAAAGCAUCUGCUGAAGGUGCAGUCCACAGUGCAGGGCUCAGCUGGGGGAGGGAACAGGAGGAACUAAAGCGUGAAUGGGCAAAGGAUCAAGCAAGCCUCUCCCAGGCAUCCAGGAAGGAGACAGAGAGGAGACUGCAGGACGAACAUGAGGAGCUGAGGUGAGGUACAGUAGCACUCAGAGGAAACCUCGCUGACAACAAUAUAUUUGAAGGGGGACGAAAUAUUGUAACAUUUCAAUAGUAAAUAUGCUUUCAUGUUAUUCACAAUAUACUGUAUAUCUGUCCAUUUUAGGCUCCAUGUCCCUGGAGGAUAGCAACUCCAAACUGAAGGCAGAGAUUAGUUUGCAACAAGAAAGGUUACACAAACUCGAGUGUGAGAGAGAUAAGCUACAUCAGGAAGUGAAGGCCUUGCAGGUAGAGGAAGAGGCACGGAAUAAACAAGAGGAGAAGACACAAACACUGGAGGCUCAACUGUCCAGUACUCAGCUCUUACUUGACAAAGAGAACUCCAAGUACCAGAAUGCAUGUCACCAACAGGAGUCACUGCAGGCCAAGCAGAUGUCUCUAUUGGAGAGAGUGGAUGCUCUGGACCAGGAGUGUGAGGAGCUUCAAGGACAAUUGGGGGAGACUGAGGACACACAGACAGACCUACAGGAUAGACUGACACACAUCUCAGAGGAGAAGGACCAACUUAAAACCCAGCUCACCCAAGAACAGGUACAUUACUACCAGACAGAUGUGACUCAACACAAUAUUAAGCACAAUGAAAUGUUUCACGUCAUAGUUAAUUUUAUAGUGCUGCUUGCAUACGUUGGGCAGAGCCAUACUUCAGCAUAG
RNAcentral lists this long non-coding RNA (1339 nucleotides) under Oncorhynchus mykiss (rainbow trout). RNAcentral describes it as "lncRNA (ENSOMYG00000059124.1)". Lineage: Eukaryota; Metazoa; Chordata; Actinopteri; Salmoniformes; Salmonidae. The record is from RNAcentral.